RNAcentral lists this transfer RNA (76 nucleotides) under Defluviicoccus vanus. Its description in RNAcentral is "tRNA-Lys". It matches the Rfam family "tRNA". From Rfam's summary of the family: Transfer RNA (tRNA) molecules are approximately 80 nucleotides in length. Their secondary structure includes four short double-helical elements and three loops (D, anti-codon, and T loops). Further hydrogen bonds mediate the characteristic L-shaped molecular structure. tRNAs have two regions of fundamental functional importance: the anti-codon, which is responsible for specific mRNA codon recognition, and the 3' end, to which the tRNAs corresponding amino acid is attached (by aminoacyl-tRNA synthetases). tRNAs cope with the degeneracy of the genetic code in two manners: having more than one tRNA (with a specific anti-codon) for a particular amino acid; and 'wobble' base-pairing, i.e. permitting non-standard base-pairing at the 3rd anti-codon position. Lineage: Bacteria; Pseudomonadati; Pseudomonadota; Alphaproteobacteria; Rhodospirillales; Rhodospirillaceae. The record is from RNAcentral.
GGGCGCGUAGCUCAGUCGGCAGAGCAUCUGACUUUUAAUCAGAGGGUCGUGGGUUCGAAUCCCGCCGCGCCUACCA